CCCUCGCCUUGUAGGCUAGGGCCACACACUCGCUUAUAGUGCCAAUAAUCUUCUGAUUAUCGGCUGUGAAAUUCAGCAGUGACAGUUAGUAGUUUAUUUUUUGCGAAAAUUGAAACUGCGGUGGAACACAGAAGGCUUGAUUAACUGAGCUGGAAUGU
Molecule: non-coding RNA, 158 nt
Filed under: unclassified sequences
Description: RT-16 RNA
Rfam family: RT-16 RNA
About the family: candidate division DUSEL4 (Archaea). Nearby to self-splicing intron genes
Source: Rfam by way of RNAcentral